UACGUAGGCGGUCCAAUAAGUCAGUGGUGAAAUCCUGCAGCUUAACUGUAGAACUGCCAUUGAUACUGUCGGACUUGAAUAUAGUUGAGGUAGGCGGAAUGUGUUGUGUAGCGGUGAAAUGCUUAGAUAUAACACAGAACACCGAUUGCGAAGGCAGCUUACUAGACUAUUAUUGACGCUGAGGUACGAAAGCGUGGGUAGCGAACAGGAUUAGAUACCCUGGUAGUCC
RNAcentral lists this ribosomal RNA (229 nucleotides) under uncultured bacterium. RNAcentral's name for it is "partial 16S ribosomal RNA". It matches the Rfam family "Bacterial small subunit ribosomal RNA", at positions 568 to 796 of the family's 1533-position model. The record is from RNAcentral.